Molecule: ribosomal RNA, 446 nt
Filed under: uncultured bacterium
Lineage: Bacteria
Description: bacterial SSU rRNA
Rfam family: Bacterial small subunit ribosomal RNA
Source: RNAcentral
CCCAGACUCCUACGGGAGGCAGCAGUGGGGGAUAUUGCACAAUGGGAGGAACCCUGAUGCAGCGACGCCGCGUGGGUGAAGAAGCGCCUCGGCGCGUAAAGCCCUGUCAGCAGGGAAGAAAAUGACGGUACCUGAAGAAGAAGCCCCGGCUAACUACGUGCCAGCAGCCGCGGUAAUACGUAGGGGGCAAGCGUUAUCCGGAUUUACUGGGUGUAAAGGGGGCGCAGACGGCGAUGCAAGCCAGGAGUGAAAGCCCGGGGCCCAACCCCGGGACUGCUCUUGGAACUGCGUGGCUGGAGUGCAGGAGGGGCAGGCGGAAUUCCUGGUGUAGCGGUGAAAUGCGUAGAUAUCAGGAGGAACACCGGCGGCGAAGGCGGCCUGCUGGACCGUGACUGACGUUGAGGCUCGAGAGCGUGGGGAGCAAACAGGAUUAGAUACCCGAGUAC